Molecule: transfer RNA, 74 nt
Filed under: archaeon
Lineage: Archaea
Also listed under: 1 other name
Description: tRNA-Gly
Rfam family: tRNA
About the family: Transfer RNA (tRNA) molecules are approximately 80 nucleotides in length. Their secondary structure includes four short double-helical elements and three loops (D, anti-codon, and T loops).
Source: RNAcentral
GCGGCCGUGGUCUAGCCUGGCUAGGACCCCAGCCUCCCGAGCUGGGUACGCGGGUUCAAGUCCCGCCGGCCGCA